GACAGCAGUAGCCGCGGUAAUACGAAGGGGGCUAGCGUUGCUCGGAAUUACUGGGCGUAAAGGGAGCGUAGGCGGACAUUUAAGUCAGGGGUGAAAUCCCAGAGCUCAACUCUGGAACUGCCUUUGAUACUGGGUGUCUUGAGUGUGAUAGAGGUAUGUGGAACUCCGAGUGUAGAGGUGAAAUUCGUAGAUAUUCGGAAGAACACCAGUGGCGAAGGCGACAUACUGGAUCAUUACUGACGCUGAGGCUCGAAAGCGUGGGGAGCAAACAGGAUUAGAUACCCCAGUAGUCCCUGUCUCUUAUAC
Molecule: ribosomal RNA, 306 nt
Filed under: uncultured bacterium
Lineage: Bacteria
Description: partial 16S ribosomal RNA
Rfam family: Bacterial small subunit ribosomal RNA
Source: RNAcentral